GUGGGGAAUAUUGGACAAUGGGCGAAAGCCUGAUCCAGCCAUGCCGCGUGUGUGAAGAAGGUCUUCGGAUUGUAAAGCACUUUAAGUUGGGAGGAAGGGCAGUAAGUUAAUACCUUGCUGUUUUGACGUUACCGACAGAAUAAGCACCGGCUAACUUCGUGCCAGCAGCCGCGGUCAUACGAAGGGUGCAAGCGUUAAUCGGAAUUACUGGGCGUAAAGCGCGCGUAGGUGGUUUUGUAAGUUGGAGGUGAAAUCCCCGGGCUCAACCUGGGAACUGCCUCCAAAACUGCAUGACUAGAGUACGGUAGAGGGUAGUGGAAUUUCCUGUGUAGCGGUGAAAUGCGUAGAUAUAGGAAGGAACACCAGUGGCGAAGGCGACUACCUGGACUGAUACUGACACUGAGGUGCGAAAGCGUGGGGAGCAAACAGGAUUAGAUACCCUUGUAGUCC
Molecule: ribosomal RNA, 450 nt
Filed under: uncultured bacterium
Lineage: Bacteria
Description: partial 16S ribosomal RNA
Rfam family: Bacterial small subunit ribosomal RNA
Source: RNAcentral